RNAcentral lists this ribosomal RNA (336 nucleotides) under Triticum aestivum (bread wheat). RNAcentral's name for it is "partial small subunit ribosomal RNA". The record is from RNAcentral. Lineage: Eukaryota; Viridiplantae; Streptophyta; Magnoliopsida; Poales; Poaceae.
AUGAUGGAAGACGGCGAAGAAGAAGAGGACGAUGACAACUAUGUGCCCCCUGAAUACGCUGAUGCUGCAAUAGGGGGAGCUGCUGAAGAUCAAGAGGAACCAGACGAUGUGCCCGAUGAUGCUUCAACGGGGGAAGCUGCUAAAGAUCAAGAGGAACCAGACGAUGUGCCCGAUAAUGAUGAUCUCCGCCAAGUCAUUGUCGAUGCAAGGACGCAAUGCGAAAGUCAAAAAGAAAAGCUGAAGUUUGAUUGCAUGUUAGAGGAUCACAAAAAAGGGUUGUACCCCAAUUGCGAAGAUGGCAACACAAAGCUGGGUACCGUACUGGAAUUGCUGUAG